CAAACAAAGUGGAUUAGCACUUAAAAUCAUAAAACAAAAGAUUCACAACUCAAGUAAACUGCAAUGAUUUAAUAGUGAUUUUUUUCUUAAAUCGCCCAUUUCACCCAGACGGUUCCUCAGAACAUCAAUUUUGUGGCCCUUUUUUGUGGUCAAUAUGAAACAUUGUUUGUAACCUGUUUUACUUCUGUAAUGUGACAUAUUUAAGAGUGAAAUAGGAUGCGAAAAAAUUAGGGUGGGACUUGAUUGGAUCAUCAAAAGUUCUCUCUCUUUGACAGGAUGCUGAAAGGGAUGUGAUGAAAAAUAAGAGUGUUUUGUGAAGUCAACCAAAAGUAGUCCAAAAGCAAUCAGAUUUGAUUAACUUAGAAAUGUAACACAAUAGGUUACGUUACUGACUCCAAUAUUAGCCAUGCAAUUUGUAAUCAAUACCAGAUUACAAUUCAGAAGUAAUCUAUCUAGCACUGGUUAUUGACAUAUUGAUGAAAGAUUACAAAGAAUAUAUUUUAGUUAAUCAAGUACUAUUACUUAUUAGACCAGUAAUGUGUAUUAAGAAAAUAAAUAGGGCCAAUUUUGAUUUCAUGUUGACUUGAUGAAAAAUGAAUUAAACCUCUUUGAUUUUCUCCUUGCAGAGCUUGUACUGUUUCUUCUGGUUAUCAAGGAAGUUGGUGGAUUAGCCCUUGUGUUAAAAGAAUACAAUUCCCUGAAUAAGCAUCCUGCUCCUUUUGCUCAACACGGAGAGAACACAUGAGGAGAACUUUGAUGUUAAAGAGGACACAGCCUUUGAAACCCAAAAGCUCCAAUGGGUCUCAGCAGAAAUAAAAGGGAAAGAUCACCCACUUCUUUGUCCGUUUGGAUGGCGUGUUUCUUGGCCAGUUUCUCCAGCUCAAUGAAGGCAUUGUUGGCAUGGGUUUCCAGUUCUUUCUGGAGCUUCAGUCGGUGCUCAUCC
Xyrauchen texanus (razorback sucker) is the source of this 943-nucleotide long non-coding RNA. RefSeq lists it as uncharacterized. NCBI's taxonomy places the organism in Eukaryota, Metazoa, Chordata, Actinopteri, Cypriniformes, Catostomidae. The transcript has 3 exons. The record is from RefSeq and is a predicted model, not a curated record.